Long non-coding RNA from Physella acuta, 704 nucleotides. RefSeq lists it as uncharacterized. The record is from RefSeq and is a predicted model, not a curated record. NCBI's taxonomy places the organism in Eukaryota, Metazoa, Mollusca, Gastropoda, Physidae.
GGGGCUGCCCCUGCCGGUGGUCACCUGACUAUAUAAGGGACACCACUCGUGUCACAUAUAGAAACAUCCAGCUAAAUUAACUCCCAUUGUGUUACUGGUCACCUUCUGGUGAGGAUAUAUACCAAGACACGAAGAUGAAGACUUCCAGCAUGAUUUUGGUCGCCGCUGUGUGCAUGUCGCUUUUAUUUUCUGUACAAGCCCAGUAUGACCAGAUGUUCCCAUGGCUACUGUUAAGCUCCAUGUCAGGCGGCCAGGGUCAGGGGGGAGGUUUCGGCUCCCUCAUGCCAUGGCUCCUCAUGUCUGGGGGUAACGACCAGGUGCGGAGUCUCUUCCCUACCCUCAUGCUCAGCCGAGCGCUUUUUGGAGGUCAAGGCCAAGGUCAAGGCGCUUAUUGAUUAUGUAAAAAAACGUGAUAAACCUCAUCUGUUCACACAUCCCCCCUCCCCUACUCCACACUUUGGUGUUUGUUUAAAACUUUACACUGCAUUCAUACCCAACACAACUCAUGUUGAGCUUUGCCAUAGACUACCAUUGUAUAAAAACGAAAUCACAAAUAUAUUUGACAUGUAAAUAUAUAACAUAUCACAUCUUUACUUUGUUUGAUGGUACAUUUGAUUCCUCAGGUUACGUAACACCUGAUCAAUAUUGGUCGUCAAUAUCAAACUGUUCGCAGGUUGUUAUUAAAAUCUAUUAUAAAAAAAAUG